Molecule: ribosomal RNA, 447 nt
Filed under: uncultured bacterium
Lineage: Bacteria
Description: bacterial SSU rRNA
Rfam family: Bacterial small subunit ribosomal RNA
Source: RNAcentral
GGCCAGACUCCUACGGGAGGCAGCAGUGGGGGAUAUUGCACAAUGGGGGGAACCCUGAUGCAGCGACGCCGCGUGGGUGAAGAAGCGCCUCGGCGCGUAAAGCCCUGUCAGCAGGGAAGAAAAUGAUGGUACCUGAAGAAGAAGCCCCGGCUAACUACGUGCCAGCAGCCGCGGUAAUACGUAGGGGGCAAGCGUUAUCCGGAUUUACUGGGUGUAAAGGGAGCGUAGACGGCAAUGCAAGCCAGAUGUGAAAGCCCGGGGCUCAACCCCGGGACUGCAUUUGGAACUGUGUAGCUGGAGUGUCGGAGAGGCAGGCGGAAUUCCUGGUGUAGCGGUGAAAUGCGUAGAUAUCAGGAGGAACACCGGUGGCGAAGGCGGCCUGCUGGACUGCAACUGACGUUGAGGCCCGAAAGCGUGGGGAGCAAACAGGAUUAGAUACCCUAGUAA